RNAcentral lists this ribosomal RNA (618 nucleotides) under uncultured bacterium. RNAcentral describes it as "bacterial SSU rRNA". It matches the Rfam family "Bacterial small subunit ribosomal RNA", at positions 338 to 951 of the family's 1533-position model. The record is from RNAcentral.
CCUACGGGAGGCAGCAGUGGGGAAUUUUGGACAAUGGGCGCAAGCCUGAUCCAGCCAUGCCGCGUGCGGGAAGAAGGCCUUCGGGUUGUAAACCGCUUUUGUCAGGGAAGAAAAGGUUCUGGUUAAUACCUGGGACUCAUGACGGUACCUGAAGAAUAAGCACCGGCUAACUACGUGCCAGCAGCCGCGGUAAUACGUAGGGUGCAAGCGUUAAUCGGAAUUACUGGGCGUAAAGCGUGCGCAGGCGGUUAUGCAAGACAGAGGUGAAAUCCCCGGGCUCAACCUGGGAACUGCCUUUGUGACUGCAUAGCUAGAGUGCGGCAGAGGGGGAUGGAAUUCCGCGUGUAGCAGUGAAAUGCGUAGAUAUGCGGAGGAACACCGAUGGCGAAGGCAAUCCCCUGGGCCUGCACUGACGCUCAUGCACGAAAGCGUGGGGAGCAAACAGGAUUAGAUACCCUGGUAGUCCACGCCCUAAACGAUGUCAACUGGUUGUUGGGAGGGUUUCUUCUCAGUAACGUAGCUAACGCGUGAAGUUGACCGCCUGGGGAGUACGGCCGCAAGGUUGAAACUCAAAUGAAUUGACGGCUGAGAGUGCGACGACGACGACGAGGGAGGAGG